UACGGGGGGGGCAAGCGUUGUUCGGAAUUAUUGGGCGUAAAGGGUGCGUAGGCGGUUUGGUAAGUCUUAUGUGAAAUCUACAGGCUCAACUUGUAGUCUGCAUGAGAAACUGCCGGGCUUGAGUAUGGGAGAGGUGAGUGGAAUUCCUGGUGUAGCGGUGAAAUGCGUAGAUAUCAGGAGGAACACCUGUGGCGAAAGCGGCUCACUGGACCAUAACUGACGCUGAUGCACGAAAGCUAGGGGAGCAAACAGG
RNAcentral lists this ribosomal RNA (253 nucleotides) under uncultured bacterium. RNAcentral's name for it is "partial 16S ribosomal RNA". It matches the Rfam family "Bacterial small subunit ribosomal RNA", at positions 524 to 776 of the family's 1533-position model. The record is from RNAcentral.